AUACGUAGGUGACAAGCGUUAUCCGGAUUUACUGGGCGUAAAGGGCGUGUAGGCGGUCUUGCAAGUCAGAAGUGAAAUUCCUGAGCUCAACUCGGGCGCUGCUUCUGAAACUGCAGGACUUGAGUGCUGGAGGGGAUAGCGGAAUUCCUAGUGGAGCGGUAAAAUGCGCAGAUAUUAGGAAGAACACCGGUGGCGAAGGCGGCUAUCUGGACAGUAACUGACGCUGAGGCGCGAAAGCGUGGGGAGCAAACAGGAUUAGAUACCCUGGUAGUCCACGCGGUAAACGAUGAAUGCUAGGUGUAGGGGGUAUCGACCCCUCCUGUGCCGGAGUGAACACAAUAAGCAUUCCGCCUGGGGAGUACGGCCGCAAGGUUGAAACUCAAAUGAAUUGACGGGG
This 397-nucleotide ribosomal RNA is filed under the name uncultured bacterium. RNAcentral's name for it is "partial 16S ribosomal RNA". It matches the Rfam family "Bacterial small subunit ribosomal RNA", at positions 523 to 918 of the family's 1533-position model. The record is from RNAcentral.